GUUUUCCUUCAUUGAAAUGCAUGCAAGAAAUAUGUCCAUGUCAUACAUUGGGUGUGAAUCAAGUUUAAUUUGAGUACUACUAGCAAAUGCAACACAGCUUAAUCCCCAGAGUUUAUUACAAAAUUCAGGUAUUAAUUAUACUUAGUUGAAGAAUAGUUGGCAUGGGAAGCAUAGACAAAGCAGAUCAGAGGAUUUCCUGCAUUUUGGCAAAACUCAGGUACCGGGUACAAGGAUAAAAUUGAAAGCACAUUACAGGCAUGACAACCUUGAAUAAGAGGUCAGUUGGCCACAUUUCAUGCAUGACAACUAUUGUUGUAAUGACACUGCUGCUGAUAUUAGCCUCUGAAUCAACAUCACUGGAGUCUUUGCCAACAUCACCACCAACUUCUCUUCCCUUCGAGCCAGUCAAGGACCAGAAGAAGCACGGCUAUGGAGAACAGUACAACGUCCACCCAGCAGAUGUGAUAGAAGACUACGGCUACUGGGAUCCUUCACCAAGAUCCAGAGGCGGAAAUCAUUCACCCAUUCCCCAUGGAGAAGUUUCAUGAAUUUGUAGUGCCAAAAAUAUUUCUUCCUCUCACUCGGCGAACCUAUAUUCUCUUUAUCCUAAUUGUAGUGUAAUGCUACAGUUUACUAACAUAUUUUAAUAGUUACUGCAGUUUAAAUUAAGUGGAAGCAUUCCACCUAAUUCCUUUGUAGAAGCAGAAUAUGAGAUAUAGUAGCGGCCAUCUGUUCAGGUUUUUCUUGGUUAUCUUAGCUCCUCCUCUUCUUGCUCUCUCUUUCAACUGGCCUUAUUUAUUCUGCAUGGAAAAUCACGAUAAUAUUUUUUGAUUUAACCUAGUUUUCUAGAAUCAGUAAAAUGUAAUCCCCGAGUUAAGCUGAGGACAGACCCAUCCCAAACACAUCAAAUUCAGACACUUCCGUUUCUCAAUACAAAUAACAGAAUAGACCAAUCACAUAGCAUAAAUAUUGGGUGCAAGUUCAAUUUAUGCAAUGUUUCAACCAAGAUAGCCAUAGGCUUCAGACUUCACCAUGCUUGUCAAAAUAUCAUUACAAGAUAACAUUCCGACAAUACAAAGAAACAAAUCUGCAACUCAAAUCAAGUGAAAAUAAAAACUUUAUGCUCCACCUUAAUUCAAGAAUGAACCAAUCAUUUGGCAAAUUUUCUCGUAAAAAAUGAGUGUUUAAAGUGAUAACCUUUAGAUAGCUUUGGAAAGAGAUGAGCAUCAUCCUGGAAGACCAUAGCGCUCAAAACAACAAUCUAAUGCCAAAUUACCUAUUUGAGGAGAAGAGGGGAAAAAACAUCAGAUUAACUAUAAUUAACCUCAAAUGAUUUAUUAAAUUUUAUUUUAUUUUAAGUUUGAAGAAUGUAAAAAGCCAAAAUAUAACACUCAUGAAAAAGUUCUGAGGUGAUACCAUAAGUGUUUAAGCUAAACAUGAGAUAAUAUGUAAAUUAAAGCCAACCUAGAUUUUAUGGAACCACAUCACCUACUGAAAAUAUGCCAACAACACUGUAUUAAAUGAUGUGAAAAGCUAAUUCAAUCUUCAUAUAGGCCACAAAAAUGCUCACUAUGGCCUUAGCCCAUACUUAUUCUAAGAAAUCACAAACAGUUAGCCAAACUAAAAUAUCUAGCAAAAUUGGAGAAUCAUCAAGACUACAAAGUACCAUGGCCUGAUGCUGAAUUUCUGAUCCUUAUUCCCGACAAAGAAUUUUCUGAAGGUUGAGGAAACCUCCAAAGAUGAUGGAGAUAAUCAAUUCAACAAAGAAUUAAAAAUUCAAAUUGCUAGCACCAAACGUUAUCCAAACCAAGAGUGGAUAAACCCUUUGUCCAGUUUUUUUCUCAUUCUUAUAUUUUCAAUUUUCAAUUUCCUAGAGAGGACAUCACCAUCAUCAUCUGUGUAUUUUCAAUUAAAAGGAAAAACUGGAUAAAUAAAUUUCAAGAAAUUCAAAACAGUUGUCAUUAAACUACUGAAUAAAGUGUUAAUUCCAAUUAAUAGAAGCAGCAACUUACUAAUCAACGUACUUACAAAAGAUGAAUCGAAGAUGGACCAGCUAUGGCAGCAACUCUCUGAGCACGCUGCGCUUCACCUUGGUAGAGUCCCUUCAUUUCUUUCUUUGCACGUCUAGCUUCACGCCUUUCCUCCUUUACAGCAGCCUUUCGUUCUUUCUUCUCCUCCUUUGACUCCUGGCCAUGUUGCUUCCUCUUCAGUGGCUCAGUUUUUAAGCCAGGCACACCUUUCACUUUUUCCACAUCAGAUUUUUUACCACGAGGCAAGAAGUCUACAGGAAGUUUCUCCUUUCCUCGAAGGGUUAUCACAUGACUGGUUGCAUUCAAGGCUCCAGAGAAAGUUUCAGCUAUCUUCUUCUUUCUAGCAACUCCUGGAGCUUCAAUUUUAGCAGGGUGAUUAUCAAGAUUUGAAUACGUGGUGAUGAUAGUCUCGCAAUCCCAUUGUUCUGAAUCAUCAUCAAUACUUUCCCGUACAAUGACAACAUCUUCAUUUUCAUCCUCAUUUUCAUACUUAUCUGCAUAUUCUACACAACGUCGAAUGACAUCAGCUGCCGAGUCUAUUAUUUCUUUACUUAUUGGUCGCUCAUUGGCACGCAAUAAAUCUGCAGGGACUUCAUAUUUAUCACCAAAUUCCAAGUCAUCCUUUUGAUGGGUAUUAAGAACAUGGUUGAGCUUAUUAGCAAGAGUUUCAUCUUCUUCUAGGAUAUAACCACUACAUUCAUCAUCUUCAUCAUCUGUGCCAUAUUCUUGACGUUCAAGCAAAUCAAAUUGCUCAUCCAGAAGACGGCGAACUCGUGGCUUCUCACCAGCAAAAUCAUUUUCUACUUCUCCUUUCUCUACACUGCUAUUAUCCACUGCCACACCUUGAUUACCAGAAGCCACAUGAUUGGAUUUAUCAGUCAAAUUCAACUUCUUAUCAAUAUCCAAAUCUGACCCUUCGUCAGGAAUAUUUGCACGAACAACAAAAUCCUCCUCCAAGUCCUCAACCUCAGAACCAAACCGCGAUAAAUCACUGUCAUCAAGUAAUGCAGCUACUUCCGGAUCAAACACUUUCAGCACUCUGACACCAACAGUCUUCGAGGCUACACUAUAAAUCGACUUAUUAUUGGUAUCAUCAAUUUUCACUUCGGAUACUCGAACUCUCGAAGCAUCAUAUGCCUUGACAUCGCGAGGAAGCUGAUCAGGAGUAGCUUUGGGAUUUUGAUAAAAAUAAGAGCCACCACCAGUGUUCUUAAUCUCCCUUAAAUGAAGCAAAUAAUUAUAGCCAUCAUCAGGAAAUCCUAACUCUAAAAUUUCCCUUCUCACAUGCUCAGGCGAAGGCCCCGUCUCCGCCGCAGAAGCUCCUCCAAAUUCCUGUCCAAACUUCAUCGAACUUCCGAAAACUCUAUCAUUAUCAUCUCCACCGUCGUCGGAAUCGCCAGGCGCAUCGGCGAAAAUGGAAUUAGGAUCGUUAUCGUAUUGACCAUUGGGGGAGAUACCACCGUCGGGGUUAUCUCCGUCGAAGAAGGUGUCUACAGAAAAGGGAUUAUUGUCGACUCGGACAAAAACUCGAUCAUUACCCGGUGUUUCGGCGUAACUGGGAUCAGAUGAGUCGCGGGCGAGCAAUUGGAAAGUUGCGGAUUUCUUCUUGUCGAUAAAUUUCUUCGUCUUGCCCAUUGUCUGAGCUUAGUUAAUAAGUGAUACUUGUAAGGAAAAUAAACUAGAUUAUAACGAGGCAGAGCUGUAUCCAAUGAAUUCCAUAAACCCUAGAAAAUUGUAUUUCUGUGUAUAUAAACCCUAGAUGAUGAACUGG
This 3801-nucleotide unclassified non-coding RNA is filed under the name Hevea brasiliensis (rubber tree). The record is from RNAcentral. Lineage: Eukaryota; Viridiplantae; Streptophyta; Magnoliopsida; Malpighiales; Euphorbiaceae.